UGGGGAAUAUUGGACAAUGGGCGCAAGCCUGAUCCAGCCAUGCCGCGUGAGUGAUGAAGGCCCUAGGGUUGUAAAGCUCUUUCACCGGUGAAGAUAAUGACGGUAACCGGAGAAGAAGCCCCGGCUAACUUCGUGCCAGCAGCCGCGGUAAUACGAAGGGGGCUAGCGUUGUUCGGAUUUACUGGGCGUAAAGCGCACGUAGGCGGACUUUUAAGUCAGGGGUGAAAUCCCGGGGCUCAACCCCGGAACUGCCUUUGAUACUGGAAGUCUUGAGUAUGGUAGAGGUGAGUGGAAUUCCGAGUGUAGAGGUGAAAUUCGUAGAUAUUCGGAGGAACACCAGUCGCGAAGGCGGCUCACUGGACCAUUACUGACGCUGAGGUGCGAAAGCGUGGGGAGCAAACAGG
RNAcentral lists this ribosomal RNA (404 nucleotides) under Actinomycetes bacterium. RNAcentral's name for it is "Actinobacteria bacterium partial 16S ribosomal RNA". It matches the Rfam family "Bacterial small subunit ribosomal RNA", at positions 355 to 776 of the family's 1533-position model. The record is from RNAcentral. Lineage: Bacteria; Bacillati; Actinomycetota; Actinomycetes.